UGGAAGGCUACGAAAGAGUAUUCAAACU
Molecule: non-coding RNA, 28 nt
Filed under: Homo sapiens (human)
Lineage: Eukaryota; Metazoa; Chordata; Mammalia; Primates; Hominidae
Source: RNAcentral